RNAcentral lists this non-coding RNA (92 nucleotides) under Bacillus sp. CECT 9360. RNAcentral's name for it is "c-di-GMP-I". It matches the Rfam family "c-di-GMP-I riboswitch aptamer". From Rfam's summary of the family: GEMM was predicted in a large-scale screen for bacterial structured RNA regulatory elements. Genes associated with GEMM are involved in a diverse array of functions, including chemotaxis regulation, signal transduction, secretion and chitin. The record is from RNAcentral. Lineage: Bacteria; Bacillati; Bacillota; Bacilli; Caryophanales; Bacillaceae.
AAGUGAAAAGGGCAAAUCAUAGGAAACUAUGAGACGCAAAGCCAAGGGCCUACCCACACGGGAAAAAGUGUGAACGGCAGCCGGUAGCCACA